RNAcentral lists this small RNA (78 nucleotides) under Flavobacterium sp. KMS. Its description in RNAcentral is "Flavo-1 RNA". It matches the Rfam family "Flavo-1 RNA". The record is from Rfam by way of RNAcentral. Lineage: Bacteria; Pseudomonadati; Bacteroidota; Flavobacteriia; Flavobacteriales; Flavobacteriaceae.
CACUAGCCCUGAUGGAAGCGGCAUCCUUUUUCUGGCUUCUUUAGACAGAAAAAGAUAUAGCGGACAGCAGGUUCCAGC